AGUGAACGCUGGCGGUAGGCCUAACACAUGCAAGUCGAACGGCAGCACAGUAAGAGCUUGCUCUUACGGGUGGCGAGUGGCGGACGGGUGAGGAAUACAUCGGAAUCUACUUUUUCGUGGGGGAUAACGUAGGGAAACUUACGCUAAUACCGCAUACGACCUACGGGUGAAAGCAGGGGAUCUUCGGACCUUGCGCGAUUGAAUGAGCCGAUGUCGGAUUAGCUAGUUGGCGGGGUAAAGGCCCACCAAGGCGACGAUCCGUAGCUGGUCUGAGAGGAUGAUCAGCCACACUGGAACUGAGACACGGUCCAGACUCCUACGGGAGGCAGCAGUGGGGAAUAUUGGACAAUGGGCGCAAGCCUGAUCCAGCCAUACCGCGUGUGUGAAGAAGGCCUUCGGGUUGUAAAGCCCUUUUGUUGGGAAAGAAAAGCAGCAGGUUAAUACCUCGCUGUUCUGACGGUACCCAAAGAAUAAGCACCGGCUAACUUCGUG
This 492-nucleotide ribosomal RNA is filed under the name uncultured bacterium. RNAcentral's name for it is "partial 16S ribosomal RNA". It matches the Rfam family "Bacterial small subunit ribosomal RNA", at positions 29 to 507 of the family's 1533-position model. The record is from RNAcentral.